Molecule: ribosomal RNA, 252 nt
Filed under: uncultured bacterium
Lineage: Bacteria
Description: partial 16S ribosomal RNA
Rfam family: Bacterial small subunit ribosomal RNA
Source: RNAcentral
UACGUAGGGGGCUAGCGUUAUCCGGAAUUACUGGGCGUAAAGGGUGCGUAGGUGGUUUCUUAAGUCAGAGGUGAAAGGCUACGGCUCAACCGUAGUAAGCCUUUGAAACUGGGAAACUUGAGUGCAGGAGAGGAGAGUGGAAUUCCUAGUGUAGCGGUGAAAUGCGUAGAUAUUAGGAGGAACACCAGUUGCGAAGGCGAUUCUCUGGACUGUAACUGACGCUGAGGCACGAAAGCGUGGGGAGCAAAUAGG